This 1332-nucleotide long non-coding RNA is filed under the name Homo sapiens (human). RNAcentral's name for it is "HSALNT0389255". Lineage: Eukaryota; Metazoa; Chordata; Mammalia; Primates; Hominidae. The record is from RNAcentral.
GCUGGCGGAGCGGCUGGGCGGCGGGCCGGGCCCGGGGCCGCUUGGAAUGGCGCCUCCUCCGCCUUCGCCCCAACUGCUUCUCCUGGCAGCCCUCGCGAGGCUCCUGGGUCCCAGCGAGGUAAGGUGACCCGCUCCUGGGAAGGCCUCGGCCCGCGAGCUCAAAGCGCUUUGCCAAAAGUUCGUCCUGGAAGGAGUGGCGCGCCGAGGGGGACGCGGAGUUCUUCCGCUGGCGGGCUGGGCCUGGGGAGAGAGAGGGCAGGGCCUCGCCGCGUCCAGCGCCCCAACUCUUCGCUUUGGACCCACAGGUGAUGGCUGGACCGGCGGAGGAGGCGGGAGCCCAUUGUCCCGAGAGCCUGUGGCCUCUGCCUCCGCAGGUAGGAGCCCUGGAGGGCCCAGGGAGAGAGGGAUGUGAAAGGCUAGCCCAGUCCCGCUCUGUUCUCGCCGCACCCUCCACAGUCACCAUCUGAGGACCUCUGCCGGUUCCUCAGUCCUCAGUAGCCAACUUCUCCAUCCCAGCCUGGCGCUUGGGGCCUGCCGUCCCCUCCCCACCACACACACACGGAGUCCCCCAACUGCCCUAAGCUCUGUUCUUUCCCCAUGUAUAGGUGUCACCAAGAGUGACCUACACACGAGUGAGCCCAGGGCAGGUGAGUACAAGCAGGGGCCCACCACCCUUGGUGUCCACGCCUGGAGACAGGCGCUCCUAGCAGGCUUCGCUGCCUGUUCUGCUGAUCGGCCCCAUUCCUUACCACUUCCCUCAGGCAGAGGCAGGGUUCUAGUUCUCUGCCCCACCUCCAAGCCCAGGACAGAUCAGCCCCAGGACAGAUGGCUCAAAGACAGUGAGCCAUAGGCCUGUCAUCUGCAAUGCUGUGUCAGGAUGCUGUUGGGUAGCUGGCUCUGUGGACAAGUGGCUGUGAGUGGAACUCUCUCUGAGAGUAGCUGGAAAAAACCCAGGCUCCAGCUCCCUGAGGAGACAGCGGGAAGUCUCCUGACUUUGUGGGCCCCAGCUUUCUGUAGGAGAGGGUAUUAAUUCUGUCUCUACCUGUGAGCAGCGAGGGAGGGUAUGUGCCAGCACCGUGUACAGUACAGAGCUGCAUCGUGCAAGGAGUGUGCCUCCAGUUGCCAGGCUCCACACUGCGGGCUCAGCUUGCGUGGUAGCAUCUCCAUCUUCAUCGCCAGCUCCUCUGAAUUUUCCUUUGAAAUACUUAUUAUUAUUAUUAUUUGAAAUGGAAUCUCACUCUGUUGCCCAGGCAGAGGUUGCAGUGAGCCGAGACCAUGCCACUGCACUCCAGCCUGGCGACAGAGCGAGACUGUCUCAAAAAAAAAAAAAAA